RNAcentral lists this ribosomal RNA (445 nucleotides) under uncultured eukaryote. RNAcentral's name for it is "bacterial SSU rRNA". It matches the Rfam family "Eukaryotic small subunit ribosomal RNA", at positions 1217 to 1672 of the family's 1831-position model. The record is from RNAcentral.
ACCAGGUCAGGACACGGUAAGGAUUGACGGACUGAAGGCUCUUCUCGAUUCCGUGGAAAGUGGUGCAUGGCCGUUUUGGUGGUGGAUCGAUCCGUCUGGUUAAUUCCGUUAACGAACGAGACCUCGGCACUCCGAAUAGCGCGGCGGACGUCGCGGCCUCCGGGCCGUCUUCCGCACGAGCUUCUUAGAGGGACCGUCCCCCCGCCGGGGAAGGAGGUGCGAGGCAACGACAGGUCUGUGAUGCCCUUAGAUGUUCUGGGCCGCACGCGCAUUACACUGACGCGUCCAACGGGUGACUCCCGACCCGAAGGGGCCGGGGAAUCCGCAAAGGCGCGUCGUGAUGGGGAUUGAACGUUGCAAUUGUUGUUCACGAAACGAGGAAUUCCUAGUAGGCGCGGGUCAUCAACCCGCGCCGAUUACGUCCCUGCCCUUUUGUACACACCGC